UGGAGGAGGAGUUUGAGGAGAGAAAGUGUGGUGAGAAAGCUAGAGAUAGCAGUUAUAGAUAACUACAAAACUAUAAAAAUGAUCAGAGAAAUGGGGCUGCAGCUUGAGACAGAUGUGUGUCAAGCACGUGUUUCUUGUCUGGACUAGGAAAUGUUAUCGCAUAUUCAUAUGCUGAUUGAAAUUCCUCUAGAGGAGAAAGAAUCUCUAUGACGAAUAGAGAGGGGAACUAUUGCAGAAGCAAAGUCCUUGAGAAGGCAGGAAGCCUAGAAUUCAGAUCCGAAGUAGAAGAAUUGGCCUUCAACAGGAAGAUGACCAUGGGCAUGGAUUGACAAACAUAGUAGAUGCUUGCAGCCACUCAAUGACAUCACAUAGCUGUCUGAGGCUCUAGAAGGUGCUCUGCUGCUAAAAGGAGCAUUAUAAAGAGUGUUUGAAUACCUCCAUGGGAACAGAAAAGCAAUGUGUGUGGAAGGAUAUUCAACAAUGUGUUGUUGGAAGACCAAGUGCAUUUUGCUGAAAACCUCCAUAACAAGAACAGAGACUUGGAAGAAGAGAUUCAAAGAGGAUAAAUAUAUAUUAAAUAGAUUCAACUGCUUAUUUGGGAAGAUCUUUACUAUACUAGAUACUGUUUUACUUUGUCUUAACAUAUGUAUUACACUGAUUCAACUUCUUAUCAUAAAUGGAAUAUGGUUGUUUUUUCUGUCAAUAAAUAGAUCCAUGCUUCAUAUUAAGGGAA
Molecule: long non-coding RNA, 733 nt
Organism: Homo sapiens (human)
Lineage: Eukaryota; Metazoa; Chordata; Mammalia; Primates; Hominidae
Exons: 2
Source: RefSeq, a predicted model, not a curated record